RNAcentral lists this transfer RNA (79 nucleotides) under Hadesarchaea archaeon. Its description in RNAcentral is "tRNA-Trp". Lineage: Archaea; Methanobacteriati; Hadarchaeota (SeqCode); Hadarchaeia (SeqCode). The record is from RNAcentral.
GGGGUCGUAGUGUAGCUUGGCUAGCACAGUAGGCUCCAGAGCUUGGCCUCCGGGAAUUCAAAUCCUGGCGACCCCACCA